CUUCCCCAUUUCACUACUGGCGCCGCCGUUUUCAGUUCCCUGUUUUGUCACUGGCACUCUAGCUUCAGCCUUUCCCGAUUGAUCAGGUUGGAAUAUUAGAAAUUGAAGCAUUUUGUCCUGCUAAGAGGUGUAGGUCGAGUAAACUACCAGUGUAAAAAAGCUUUAAAUAAUUUUGCC
Molecule: non-coding RNA, 177 nt
Organism: Salvia hispanica
Lineage: Eukaryota; Viridiplantae; Streptophyta; Magnoliopsida; Lamiales; Lamiaceae
Source: RefSeq, a predicted model, not a curated record